AUUGUAACCCUGGCGACUAAAAUCCUGUGUUUAGCUGUAGAACAGGUGCAGUAAAUGCAGCAGCAGUGGAAGCUUUUCCCUAACUUUCCUACUAUUUUCCUCAUCCCUUACAGAUGAAAGCACUUCAAGGGAGAGAGUAGUUUGAUUUCUGUGCCACUUGAUGCUUUUGCUGAA
This 174-nucleotide small RNA is filed under the name Crocodylus porosus (Australian saltwater crocodile). RNAcentral's name for it is "TUC338 (ENSCPRG00005017155.1)". The record is from RNAcentral. Lineage: Eukaryota; Metazoa; Chordata; Crocodylia; Crocodylidae.